Molecule: ribosomal RNA, 460 nt
Filed under: uncultured bacterium
Lineage: Bacteria
Description: partial 16S ribosomal RNA
Rfam family: Bacterial small subunit ribosomal RNA
Source: RNAcentral
CCUACGUGUGGCAGCAGUGAGGAAUAUUGGUCAAUGGGCGGAAGCCUGAACCAGCCAAGUAGCGUGCAGGAUGACGGCCCUACGGGUUGUAAACUGCUUUUAUACGGGAAUAACGCGCCUUACGUGUAGGGCUUUGCAUGUACCGGAUGAAUAAGGACCGGCUAAUGCCGUGCAAGCAGCCGCGGUAAUACGGAAGGUCCGGGCGUUAUCCGGAUUGAUGGGGUUUAAAGGGAGCGUAGGCCGCAUGUCAAGCGUGCUGUGAAAUGUCCGGGCUCAACCCGGGCCUUGCAGCGCGAACUGGCGUGCUUGAGUGCGCGGAAAGCAGGCGGAAUUCGUCGUGUAGCGGUGAAAUGCUUAGAUAUGACGAAGAACCCCGAUUGCGAAGGCAGCUUGCUGCAGCGGAACUGACGCUGAUGCUCGAAAGCGCGGGUAUCGAACAGGAUUAGAUACCCCUGUAGUC